This is a non-coding RNA of Microcebus murinus (gray mouse lemur), 1377 nucleotides long. NCBI's taxonomy places the organism in Eukaryota, Metazoa, Chordata, Mammalia, Primates, Cheirogaleidae. The record is from RefSeq and is a predicted model, not a curated record.
CGCGACCCCCGCUCCGUCCCGCCCACCGGCGUGAGCCCCCGGGUCAGGGCCGCGCUCUCCGCGCCCGGCGGCGCCCGGCCGCCCUUCCCUCCCUGAGGGGAGGAGAAAGAGAAAGGAGCCGCAGCCGGCGUGGGCCGGCGUUGCGGGCCAGCGACACGCCGAGACGCUCAGGCUUCCCCACCUGCUUCCAACUGACGGAAGUGUGAAGUGAGGUGUGGCCAACCCUACCUGGCCCAGUUUAUGUAGACCCUUCUAAAUCGAACCAUUUUGCAGUUGCACCAACAGUGUGUAUGUCUCUCAGGAAUUUAAAUUGUGAGAUUUAGAGAGAGUGGUUCUGUUGGUAGCAGGAUUGGAAGCUGAAAAAGUGCACAGAGAGCAGCCACGAGGAAGCAGAGGCCACGAAUAAGCAGAGGAGAAAAGAUGCAAAGAGACAGCCCCGAGAGAGGAAGCGGUAGGUAGUUGGCUGGUUGGUCGUAGGGGAGGAACAUUAAAAUCAAAACAACUACUAGUACAAUCGAUGUGGGUUAUUGACAAAACUCUGCUGCUCAGGCUCCAACGAAUUUGCAAAAUAUGUUAAGAGAUCCAAAGAAAAAUGUGUUUAGCAGAAGGGGUAUUUGUUCCUCAUGGACGUGGACAGGCUGUUCUCUCGCUCUCCGGCUGCUGCUACAUCAGUAGCAGUUCUCCCAACGCGUCAGAAGCCCAGCUGCCAGCUCUCGCUUGGACUGUACACACUGCACUCUUUGGGGCCUGCCUGCCCUGAGCACUCCCUAAUGUAGGAGACCUCAGACUCAACUUCUUUCUCUGGGACACCCCCACCAGUCCCUGCCAGGGACAAUCUAUUAAUAACCUAUAUCCUUUUGUUGUUGAGGGAUCCUCGUCUGCAGGUGCUUCUUGGGGAGUGCCAGCAGGAGCCUUAAACCCCAGCCACCUUUUGUGCUAUCCAGUGUGACUCACAUGUGGCAAACUUACAUACAUAAUUCAAGGAGGAAGGGCAUGUAGGCAGCUCCCAUCCUGGUGCUCUUCUCUUAGCACUAGACCGUCUUUCUCCUCCCUUCCUUCACUCCCAAGGGCUUUGGAAAAGCUCAUCCAGGUCAAUGGUUCAGUGAAUUCAGGCAAGUUCUCAGCUUGGGGAGGGAGAGAGAAGCUUGUUGGACCUUAAAACUUGUGGGAAGAGAAUGUGGGAAUAAGUGGAAUGGCUCCCAUCUCUUUCCACUAGGGACAGGCAAUGGACUCCGGUUGCCGUCUACAGUAAAUACUAGUCACUCAUGGAUAUAUGAACUACUUGGAAAAAUUUCAAAUGCCUAUUUUUGUUGAAGAAUUUAUAAUAAAAUGAUUAAUAUUAAUAAUUGACCUUCAAGCAUAAAAAUAUUGAUAUGA